This 1692-nucleotide ribosomal RNA is filed under the name Triticum aestivum (bread wheat). RNAcentral's name for it is "partial small subunit ribosomal RNA". Lineage: Eukaryota; Viridiplantae; Streptophyta; Magnoliopsida; Poales; Poaceae. The record is from RNAcentral.
AUGGCCACGAUGGGGGGAGACCGAAGGCAGAUGAUGGUGAAUGCGGCGGAGGACAAGUUUCCCGAGGGGUUACGCGUCCUCGUCGUUGACGACGACCGCGUCUGCCUCAAGGUACUAGAAGCCCUCUUGCGCCGCUGGAAAUACCAACCAACAACGGUGAUGGAUGCAAAGACGGCGCUGAGGAUGCUCAUGGCCGGGAAGCAGCAGUUCGACCUGGUCAUCACCGACGUGUGCAUGCCGGACAUGGACGGCUUCAAGCUCCUCGAGCUCAUCCGCCUCGAGAUGGAUCUGCCCGUCAUCAUGCUAUCCCUCGAUUGCGACAAGAAGGUUGUGAUGAAGGGGAUAGAUCAUGGCGCGUCCGACUUUAUGGUGAAGCCAGUGUGUGCCCAUGAGCUCAAAAACAUAUGGCAACAUGUUCAAAGGUGGAGAAAUCCAAAAGCAAUAGGCCACAUCAGCGAUCAUGACAGUGAUGUCCAGAGAGUACAACCAGCGACUGCUGACAAGAGUAAGUACUCGGGGAAUAAGAGAAAUGUUGGAGAUGAUUCUAACGAGAACAAUGAGAGCACACAUAUAUCCUCCACCCACAGAAAGCCCAGGGUGACAUGGACAAUUGAGUUGCAUAACAAGUUUCUAGAAGCUAUCAACCAGAUCGGCCUUGAUAGGGCUGUUCCAAAAAAGGUAUUGGAGCUGAUGAAUGUGGAUUGCCUCAGCAGAGAGAAUAUCGCGAGUCAUCUACAGAAGUAUAGAUUGUACUUAAAAAGAGUCAACUCAAAUCCCUCUAGUGAUGCAUAUGAAAGAAGGAACUCAUCGUACAACAUGAACAACAAGGGCAAUUUAAUGCAUAAUCAUGAACAUGGAAGGUGGAGUGUGUCAUCUGGCGACACUUCGUCUUGGAGUACAAACAAUUAUGGUGCAACGGGUCAUGUGGCUUCGCCGAUGAACAUCCAAAGCAACUUCUACAUGGGGUCAUACCUCCAUGAUGGUAGAAUGUCGAGGUAUGUUGGGAAACAACCAUCGGAUGCGAGAAGAUUCACAGGUUUUGGUGACCCUCCCGUGAGCCUAUACAACAACAUACCCAAUGAGAUAAUGUUAGAUGAAUUUCCUUCAUGCAAUUAUAGUAAUUCCUAUGCUGACCUCAUGCGUGGCAAGCUAAUGGAGAUAAGCAAAGGCAAAACCCCUUCCAAUCUUCAAAGUUCCUUUGCAAACAGAAUAGUUGGUGGCGGGAGGUCGUCUCUCGUCCCACCACAGGAGAGCUAUGCAAUGUCAACUGGCCGGCUGCCUCUGCAAAAUGAAAUGACACCAUUCAUAAGCAAUACCACAUCAAUGGGAGGCAUCAUUGAGCAGAUGGCACCAUUCAACAUGGCAAGCAACACAAGCUCAGUAGGAACGAUGUUGAAUGGUAGCUCUACACUUGAUGCAAGUAGAACUUCAAUGAAAGAUACUCAUGUGGUAAAUAGUGAAAGAACUACUUCGAUGCUUCACAACCUUCAGCCAGACGAUUUCGUCCCAUUGACUCAGCUACUUGAUGGCGGGGAUGGAGCUAGCAUUGUCCCUAUGCAAGAAGGCACACUUGAGCAGCAACCUCUAAAUGAUCAACUGAAUGAAAUCAAUGCCUUAUCAAUGGAUGAUAUGUUUUCCAACAUGCACAUGGAAGAUUUCACUGGAGAUGAUGCUAUCGUGGAAGAAGCAUGA